AUGGAGAGACUUGUUAAUGUUCAUUACAAGGACAAGGAGGCAUUCUUGAGUAACAAUGCCGACACGGGUGAGGAACCAUUGGUUUUUGAUACAAGCCCUAGCUAUGAGGAUGUUGUUGCAAAAGUGAGACAAGUCUUAAAGUGGAUGGACACCAAUGUUGAUGUUAAGUUAAUAGGUAGGUAUGAUGUUGGAGUUGGAGCCAAAUCUCGCUUGAAAAGUAUGCCUAUCACCUCGGAUUUGCAUUGGGAUGUAUACAAGGAAAAAGUUUCCCAAUCGGAAGACAAGUCACUUGAAUUGUUUGCCACCAAGGUUGAAUCUCCUCGGUUUACACUUGAUUUGAACCGGUAUGUCUCUUCCCCAAUGGAUGACGUGAGCGUUGACUUGUAUGCCCCCAAUGCUUCUAGCCAACCACCAACUAGCCAAGCAAAUGAAGUUGAGGUGAUUGCUAGUGACGAAGUAAUUCAAGAGGAUGAAGAUGCUUAUGAUGACGACGAAGAGCAAGAGGAAGGGUUUCAUGGUAAUGAUGUUGGUGACUUGGAUGCGUACAUAGCGCAAAAGGACAUGGAUCGUGAGUUGCCUUUUAGGCGUCAAUAUGCGUAUGACUCGGAUGACGAGGGUCCAGUUGAACAGUUGGACGGUGGAAUGAGAAUGACGGCGUCAAGAUGGAUUCACAAAGGAGGAAAACCAAAUCCACUUUGA
RNAcentral lists this ribosomal RNA (699 nucleotides) under Triticum aestivum (bread wheat). RNAcentral describes it as "partial small subunit ribosomal RNA". Lineage: Eukaryota; Viridiplantae; Streptophyta; Magnoliopsida; Poales; Poaceae. The record is from RNAcentral.